This 199-nucleotide ribosomal RNA is filed under the name uncultured bacterium. RNAcentral's name for it is "partial 16S ribosomal RNA". It matches the Rfam family "Bacterial small subunit ribosomal RNA", at positions 326 to 539 of the family's 1533-position model. The record is from RNAcentral.
ACGCUCGACACCUACGGGAAGCAGCAGUCGGGAAUAUUGCGCAAUGGAGGAAACUCUGACGCAGUGACGCCGCGUAUAGGAAGAAGGUUUUCGGAUUGUAAACUAUUGUCGUUAGGGAAGAGAAAGGACAGUACCUAAGGAGGAAGCUCCGGCUAACUACGUGCCAGCAGCCGCGGUAAUCUGAGCGGGCUGGCAAGGC